Long non-coding RNA from Mangifera indica (mango), 4714 nucleotides. RefSeq lists it as uncharacterized. Lineage: Eukaryota; Viridiplantae; Streptophyta; Magnoliopsida; Sapindales; Anacardiaceae. The transcript is spliced from 2 exons. The record is from RefSeq and is a predicted model, not a curated record.
AUCACCCAGUCUUCCAGUGGGAAUAAUCCUUUGGCCUACAAGAAAUAAUCGAGAGAAAAUUAAAUUGCGAAACGGAAGCGUGCAGAUACACCCAGAUUUGAUGGAGAAAUCUCGUUAAAUGCUUUACUACCCAUUACAGCCGUUGCAUCAAUUGAUAUCCAAACCCAGAACAAUUACAGGGCCAAAUAGCGGGCCCCAAACACAGAACUCACACUUGUUACGUCGUUUUUCGGAGCUGAGUUUCGCUUGUCGGACCGGUACUCGCAUUCUAAAACCCGACCGGAAAACCCUUAAAUCAUCGUAAACUGCACUGUAGGUCUCCGUAUUUCUCGCCAAGGUGCGGCGACUGGUUUGUUUCGCAUUUCCACGUCGACGAUCGAACGGCCGUUCGAGGAUUGAAAAGCAAAAGGAAGAAGUUCCUUCUUUUGGGGUUUGUUUUCCGGUUUUUUGGCUUGUUUUGUGAUAAAAGGGUUGAAAGUGAGGGAAAUAUAUGAAAGUUGUAUGCUGUGUGUUUUUUAAUUCAGUGAUGCCUGUUGUUGGUGCUUAAAGUGGCUCUGUUUGGUUGUUAGAGACGAGUUUAAGAAAUGUUAGGUUUUAGGAUAAGAGAAAGGGAUUAAUUUAUGUGUUUUUAGUUUUAUGAAUGAAUUUAGUUUGGUCUAGUUUUCAUUUAUUGUUGUGGAAGUUGUUUUAUCGGUUUUGGGAGAUGAAAUUCGGAUAGUAUUUUAUUUGGAAAGCAAGGCAAGUGUUUUUGGCAUGCAAAGAGAACACACUUGACUGCUUUGGACUUCUCUUUUUCUAGUGAUAAGUUGUUAGAUGUGAUAAACCCUAUGGGCGACUUGAAUUGGUGAACGUGUGUUUUCUUUAUUCCCGAGGAUUUUAAGUUUAGUUAGGCUUUUAGUUUUUAGGUUAAGUUCACUAGCUUGUAAAGAAAACAUUAGGAAGUUUUAGAGACCUGUUGAUUUUCACCUGUAAAGUGCAAGCUAAUUUUCUUUGGAAUUGUUCAAAAUAGCUUCAAAAACUGUCAAAUGCGGAAUGUGGAUUUCUAUGUACAGAGCUAUAUGAAGCUUUGUAAAGAUAGGUUUGUUAUGAACAUGUUAGCAUGGAUUCUGCAACUUUGAUUAUAUAGUUCCCUUUUCAAACGGGUUCAUGUAGUUCCCUUUUCAAAUGGGUUUAUGUUGACAGAGUAACCAAUUUAUUCAAAUUAGCUUCAGAAACUGUCAAUUGUAGAAUGUGGUUUUUUAUGCAUGAAGCUACAUUAAGCUUGCUAAAAAAUAAGUUUGUUAUGAACAUAUUAGCCUGUAUUUGUAACUUUGAAUAUCCCUUUUCUAGUGGGUUUAUGUUUAUAUUCUCGAAUGAGUAUAGAGUAACCAAUUUCGGAGCAAUUAAGUUUGGCAUAUUAAAACAGUUACCAUAUGGUAGUGAAAUUAUGACUAAGUUUGGGUCAUUUGAAGAAUUAAAUUUAAUAUAGGAAAGAUGAUAGUAAAUCUUCUGGUGUAAGAUCUUCAUGCUUUGCGAUAACAUUAUGGUAAUUAAAGAAAAAAGUGCUCUAUCUGGAUAGGUUGAGGGCAAAUUUGAUAUCAACAUUACAAAAUAAAUGAUUUUUCUAACAAAAUGGUGGUUAUUGGGAAAUUAUAGAGUUGUUACUUAAUUCUAGGGGCAAAGUAAAAUUAUGGUGAGCAAAAUGUGAUGGACAGUCUUACAGAUGGAAUCUAGAUAAAGUUUGUACUCUAUCUUGGCGAAGUAAAAAUCUUGGGCAGAAGUCAUCUUAGAUGUCUACUCCUUAAGUUUUGAAUGCGAUUUUGGAUGGUUUUUUGAGAACUAAUAUUAGAAGAAUUUUGACGGGUGCUAGGUUAAGUGGGGGGCUCAAGCAGUGCUUGUAAGGUGAGGCAGGUGCCCUCUGUGGGAUUGGAUUAGGCAAUAUGCACCUUGCCAAAUAGUCUCAAAGCCCUUUAAAAGAAGGGUAUGUGUGAGACAACAUCAACUUGUUGCUUUCCUAGUUCCUUGGUUGAGACUUUGGGUGUUGCUUGCACGAGUGGCUAAUUUAACGGCUACCUAUUUGCAGGUUGAAGCCAUAGUAAGAAUCCAACAUCUUGGGUUUUUAAUGAGGUUUAUUUAAUUCUAAAAAUGAAUCCUGUCUAGUCUAUGCAGUGCUCUGGAAGAAGGGGCUGUCUGAGUUUGUUAAUCUCACUCGACUUUUACGGCUUGUAAAGUUGGACUUUGUUCUCCAUUUUUUUUAAGAAAAAUUAAGGACAAGAAACGGAUAAUAAUUUUUAUGAAAGUUAAUCUUUGAGUUACUGAUAUGCUACAUGCAUAAAGUGGUCUAGCAAUUAGAUAAAUUAUUUUUAGAAUUUCUAGUAUAUAUAUAUAUAUAUAUAUUAAUUAUUUUUCUAAAUGAAGUCCUCUUUGAGGUUGAGUGUGUUGUGGGUUGGGAACUAUUUUUCUUGAUGCCUUCUUGUCCUUCAGUUAAUUGAAAUGAAUUAUUGUUUUCUUCCCCUUGGCCCUUGUUAACAAACAAAAAUUUCAAUAAGAAAAUAGAGCUUUAUAAUAGGAAGUGAACUAGAGAGAAACCUUUACAAAUGACCUAGGAACAUGCUAUACUAAAAGACUGGUUUUCUUGAAACUGAAGUGAAAUGGCUGUUCCCUUCCAAUUAUGUGGAUGAAAAACUAGGGAUGUCAAUAAGAUCUUAUGAAAUUAAUGCCCAUGGCGAUUGAUUUUGUUUUUUUAUUUCUUAUUUCAACAAGAAACUUAAGAAAGCUUAUAUAACUUUGUAAAUUUGUCAUGAUUUAUGAUGUAGUGGAAUAGAGAAGUCAAUUAAGUCUCAACAAUUUGGCUAGAAUAGGAUGAUUGUAGUUGGAAAAAAAAAACGUAAAAAGGUCUGAACACAUUGUCCAAUAAUAACAACAAAAAUCUGCCUUGAUUGAAUAAGGCAACCUUAUUUAUACUGGCUCUGAUACCACUUAGUUGAAUAGAGAAGUCCAUUAAGUCUUGGCAACUUGGCUAGAAUAGGAUGAUUGUGGUUGGAACAAUAAAAUUUAAUUAGGUCUGAACGAAAUCCUUUAAUAAAUUGUCCAAUAAUAACAACAAAAUCUGCCUUUUUUGUAUUAGGGAGCCCUAUUUAUACUAGUUAGGAGAAAUCCCAACCUCAACCAAAAAGCAAAUAAAACAAUCCUAAGUAAAUUAAAAGAGCAGAGAAUCCUAAAGCAUGUAAAAGAGCCCUACAAUAAAUAAACUAUAAAGCCAAAAUGAAAAAACAAAAUCCUAUUCUGAUUUGGAUGUACUGCAUCAAUUUAUGAAUGCAAAACUGCAUCUUUUAGUUAUUGUCAUGAAAGGUAUUGUAAGAGGUGCUUACAGAGUAUAUUUUCAAGAUACUUCUAUUGUUCUGUGGGAAAGUUCAGUCUUUCUUUUUGGCAGAGUCUUUUCGGACAAUAAUUCUUCUAAAUAUGUUAAACAUUUAUGCUUAGUAUGUGUUGGAAUCCAAGACCAAAGGUUUUUAUGGGACUGAAAAACCUGCAUAUUGCAAAUUUAGACAAUCCACUCACCAUGAAGGAACCACCAGCACAAAGGAUAAAAUUCACUAACUUAGGACAAAGUCGCAAGCUGUUAUUUGCCACUCUUAAUGAGGUAAACUGUAGCUCACAGGAGAACAGAGUUUCCCUUUGUUGUCCCAGGGAAGAUAGUCUAGUUGCCACAGAACAGUUGGAUGGUAUGCUGGAAUUCCAGAGGGAGUUUAAUAACUUCAUGACUCUGUUUCCACCUCCUAUUCAUUUAUCAGUAUAUGGCUCAGACUCUCACAGAUCGGUAAACAAGGCUGCUACCAGAGAAGAAAAUCAUCUUAAAGUUAUACAAAAUGUGGCUGAAAGCUGAUUCAGGGAUGUUACAAGAGCUUCAUCUGCCUUCCCAGCAAGUGAUGCCAGGUUGUGUGCAGUCCCAAAAUUACCGUCCCUGAGAAAGCACAAGCUCUUCUCCGACUCAGCUAAGCCCCCAAAACCAAAACACAAAAAGACCUCAAUAGAGCAUAGCAAUAUACGACAGUUUCUUCUUGAGCCAGGAUUCCAUCCUAUGCCACCAACAGCACCCAUCACCAGAAAAGAUCCCAAUUGAAGGUUUGAUUUGACCCCGGCAAUCAUUCAAGAGAGCUGGUCUGAUGAUGGAGCGGAUAGUAAUAUCUUUUCCUGCAUGGACAAGGAGUUUUUCCAGGAAAAGUUUUUGGAAGUGGUGUAUCAUGGCUAUUUCCCUGACCUUUCGGGUAUUGAUGACUGUUCAACACUGCCAGAGUACACUGACAUUGGCUAGCUAAUGCAAAAACCUGAACUCUGCUUGAUGUUCUGGGUUAAUACUAACGGUUGUUGACCGGGGAUGGAAGAUUCUCGCAGCAACUGAGUUGGGUUGAUGAAUCGCCUGACUCGGAGCUUACAAUAGCGCACUCGGGGUAGAUACGGAUGCCAAUUAAGACUUUUUGGGAAAGCACAUUAUUUUUGGCAGGUUUGCCUUUUAGCACCAAGCUGAGAGUUCAAUGUUUAUUGUCAGGAAGCUGUGAAGGUGGAUUAGCUUAGGAUUAGAAUCUCAGGUUAGCGAAUACAAAUUGGUCACACAAAAUUUUGUAUUGAAUUCAUUAUUGGGAACUUUGUGCAAAUUUUUUUCAUUCAUUGGGCUGUCACUGAAUAGUGAUUUUGGCACAUUUCCCUCAAUAGAAAGGAGGUAGUUUUGGUAAAA